GAUGAACGCUGGCGGCGUGCCUAACACAUGCAAGUCGAACGGAAAGGCCACAGCUUGCUGUGGUACUCGAGUGGCGAACGGGUGAGUAACACGUGGGUGAUCUGCCCUGUACUUCGGGAUAAGCUUGGGAAACUGGGUCUAAUACCGGAUAGGAAUCACAUGUGGGUGUGUGGUUGGAAAGCUUUUGCGGUAUGGGAUGAGCUCGCGGCCUAUCAGCUUGUUGGUGGGGUAAUGGCCUACCAAGGCGUCGACGGGUAGCCGGCCUGAGAGGGUGUACGGCCACAUUGGGACUGAGAUACGGCCCAGACUCCUACGGGAGGCAGCAGUGGGGAAUAUUGCACAAUGGGCGCAAGCCUGAUGCAGCGACGCCGCGUGGGGGAUGACGGCCUUCGGGUUGUAAACUCCUUUCGUCAGGGACGAAGCGAAAGUGACGGUACCUGGAGAAGAAGCACCGGCUAACUACGUG
RNAcentral lists this ribosomal RNA (466 nucleotides) under uncultured bacterium. Its description in RNAcentral is "partial 16S ribosomal RNA". It matches the Rfam family "Bacterial small subunit ribosomal RNA", at positions 28 to 507 of the family's 1533-position model. The record is from RNAcentral.